This 257-nucleotide long non-coding RNA is filed under the name Elaeis guineensis (African oil palm). RNAcentral describes it as "long non-coding RNA (EGUI_LNC035571)". Lineage: Eukaryota; Viridiplantae; Streptophyta; Magnoliopsida; Arecales; Arecaceae. The record is from RNAcentral.
CUAGCCUUUACUUCUCACAUAAGCUCUCUUCCGUCCAUCUUGCCACCACCUAUUACUAGGCCCAUACCUCAUCUUCCCUUCCUAUCUCUAGCCCAUGCCCUCUCUCUCUAGGCAUCCUUCCUAAGAGCCAAAAGAGGGGUGGGCAGCAUCAUAGGAGGUGGUGUCAAUUAUUGGUACCACUUGCUCUUGGUUUGUUUCCUUCCAUCUCAAGUGUGUUGAGAGUUAGUUAUAACGACUUCUUAGUUAUUGUUCUUCUU